RNAcentral lists this unclassified non-coding RNA (360 nucleotides) under Hevea brasiliensis (rubber tree). Lineage: Eukaryota; Viridiplantae; Streptophyta; Magnoliopsida; Malpighiales; Euphorbiaceae. The record is from RNAcentral.
GAGUUCGAACUUUAUCGACCUCAAAGCCGUAAAGGCUCUCAAGGACGCGCUUAAUUUCGAUUUUGGAAGCAGAUGGAAUGGUUUUAAGAGCAAUUUCAGUGAUGUUGGUGAAGGAGGUAGGCAUAAGAAGCUUGAUUGGAAGAUUUGCGAAGUGAAUAACUCUUCUCCCGAGUCUGCUUCCCAUUUUCUUGGCUUUCUUCGCUUCCGAAGUCCGACUCAAAAGCGUCUAUGAACAGCAGGUCAAGAGAUUCUUUGAAACCCCAAUCACAAAUGCAACUCCACUCUGUGAAUUGGAGAUUCGUACCCGCAAACUUUCAACAAAGUGAAAGGAUUGGUAACGGACGGCGAGGCGCACUGCUG